UUUCGUUUCAGCUUUAGCUAUUUAGAUUAUAUUUAUUUUUAUUGGGUUUGCAUGCCCAAAAGUUGAACCCAUAUAACUCUAUUUUAGAUACUCCAUGGUGUUAGUGUAGGAUUUGGGAUACAGAAUUAGUUCAAGAGUGAUUGUUUAAUUUCUAGUUUAAUUAUGAAUUUUUAUUGAAUUAUUAUUCGUUAUUUAUUUAUGGAUUGAAUUUGCACAUACCUUAU
Molecule: long non-coding RNA, 224 nt
Filed under: Capsicum annuum
Lineage: Eukaryota; Viridiplantae; Streptophyta; Magnoliopsida; Solanales; Solanaceae
Description: long non-coding RNA (CANN_LNC020315)
Source: RNAcentral